CCUACGGGAGGCAGCAGUGAGGAAUAUUGGUCAAUGGGCGCGAGCCUGAACCAGCCAAGUAGCGUGAAGGAUGACUGCCCUACGGGUUGUAAACUUCUUUUAUAAAGGAAUAAAGUGAGGCACGUGUGCCUCUUUGUAUGUACUUUAUGAAUAAGGAUCGGCUAACUCCGUGCCAGCAGCCGCGGUAAUACGGAGGGUCCGAGCGUUAUCCGGAUUUAUUGGGUUUAAAGGGAGCGUAGAUGGGUUGUUAAGUCAGUUGUGAAAGUUUGCGGCUCAACCAUAAAAUUGCAGUUGGUACUGGUGGGUUGGAGGAGGGGGGAGGGAGGCGGAAUGCGGGGUGGAGCGGUGAAAUGUUUAGAGA
Molecule: ribosomal RNA, 361 nt
Filed under: uncultured bacterium
Lineage: Bacteria
Description: partial 16S ribosomal RNA
Rfam family: Bacterial small subunit ribosomal RNA
Source: RNAcentral